RNAcentral lists this ribosomal RNA (411 nucleotides) under Paracoccaceae bacterium. RNAcentral describes it as "bacterial LSU rRNA". It matches the Rfam family "Bacterial large subunit ribosomal RNA", at positions 2502 to 2925 of the family's 2925-position model. Lineage: Bacteria; Pseudomonadati; Pseudomonadota; Alphaproteobacteria; Rhodobacterales; Paracoccaceae. The record is from RNAcentral.
AUAGCGGCGGAGCGGUUUGGCACCUCGAUGUCGGCUCAUCGCAUCCUGGGGCUGUAGGCGGUCCCAAGGGGUGGGCUGUUCGCCCAUUAAAGCGGUACGCGAGCUGGGUUCAGAACGUCGUGAGACAGUUCGGUCCCUAUCCUCUGCGCGCGUUGGAAAUUUGAGAAGGUCUGUCCUUAGUACGAGAGGACCGGGACGGACGAACCUCUGGUACACCAGUUGUCCCACCAGGGGCACCGCUGGAUAGCCACGUUCGGACAGGAUAACCGCUGAAAGCAUCUAAGCGGGAAACCCACCUCAAAACCAGGUAUCCCUGAGAGCCGUGCAAGACCAGCACGUCGAUAGGCCGGGUGUGGAAGCGCUGCGAGGCGUGAAGCUAACCGGUACUAAUUGCUCGAUAGGCUUGAUCGA